Molecule: long non-coding RNA, 292 nt
Filed under: Glycine max (soybean)
Lineage: Eukaryota; Viridiplantae; Streptophyta; Magnoliopsida; Fabales; Fabaceae
Description: long non-coding RNA (GMAX_LNC002025)
Source: RNAcentral
GGGCACUGUGCACUGACCUUUCAGGGUCUUUGGCACUAGCUUUUGGCCACGUUCAUACAUUGGAUGUUGUGUAUGAUCGUGGGGUCGUGGGGGGCACUGUGCACUGACCUUGCAGGGUCUUUGGCACUAGCUUUUGGCCACGAUCAUAUGUCGUAUGAAGUGUAUGCCAUGGGGGGGUAGAGUGCACUGACCUUGUCGGAUGGCCCAAACGUGGGUAACUAGCGUGGUUAGAGAAUCUAAGCAUUUCUGAGGGGAUGCUUAGGCGCUUUAAUUGGUCCAUGGUCUUUGGCAC